Non-coding RNA from Microcebus murinus (gray mouse lemur), 1346 nucleotides. NCBI's taxonomy places the organism in Eukaryota, Metazoa, Chordata, Mammalia, Primates, Cheirogaleidae. The record is from RefSeq and is a predicted model, not a curated record.
UUCAACCUUGCAAGCUGACCUGUGGGUGACAAAGGAUACAAACAAGAAAGGUGACAUGUAAAGUCUGUGAUGCUGUCAAGCUGGUGUAUUAUUUGGCUGGAGGCCAUGCACAAAGACACAGAGAGAGAGAGAGAGAGAGACAGACAGGGAGAGUUCAGUGAAUAAAAGUAGAGUUCCAAUCCAUCCACCAACCAUAUGCUCAGAGAGCAUUCAAGGAUAACCACGUCAACGUUCUCCGGUUCAUAUGUCUUGAGAGGGGACACACAGGCCUCUUAUAUUCCCCCAGCCCCUUCUCUGCUCUUUCCCUUGAAGUCACAGGGCAUGGAAAAGAAAGGGGAGAGAGAAGGACCUGAAGUUUUACCAGAAAUGGCGAAAACUCCGGUUGGAUCUUAAGUCACUAACAGAACUUCCCUUCAUUUUACUCACAUAAGGUUAAAUUCUUAAUUCAUGAAAAUAAAUAAAAAUCUCAUGUUUUACAUGGAAUGGUGAAAGGCUGCCUCCCUUAAAAAAACACACAUAAAAAAAAUCUCUAGUUUUAGUUACUGUUGCCACCAAAAUCCAGAAAAUGAUAUGACCUCAAAAACAGGUGUCUCUAAUAGCAUGAGCCAGAACAUUGAUUAUUCAGCCACAUCUCCUGCUCCCUCUUUGCCACAGAACCGAAUGGGACUGUGUAGGCAUGGGACCAGCCCUCUGAGCUGUCCAGACAGGCCCUGGCAACUUCAUUCAGACUACUUCCAGCCUUAGAAGGACCAAAGGAGCAUUCUUCAUGGGUUUGCAAUUGGGCCGCUCUGUUUCCACAGCAUGGGAGAAUGGCUCCAAAUAUACAGUCACUUUCUUUUUCCUCCCCCCCCACCCUUUUUUGUUAUGACUACACCAACAUUUUUAAUUGCUUUUGAAAUGUGGUCGUUAAACUGAAAAGACUAAUGGAACAUUCCAAAGAGGCAAAACUGUUGUUUCACGUCUUUGGGGGCAGAGUUGGUGGGCUUCAGUUUCUCUCUUGCUAUGUUCCUCUUGGAAAACUAUUUGAAGGCUUUAUCUAUAAACAUAUGCAAGGUAGGAGAUAAUUUAUUCUCUUUGCUUCUCUUUUCCUCACUAACAGGGUAAGAGAGGCCACUGCUGCCCUAAGAGUGUGAAGAAAGCUUGUCUGGCAAUGGGGCAGAAAGUCUGACAGGAUAAAAUAACCCCCGGGGGCCUGGAGAACAGCAGCUCUCACCCAGAUCAGAAUUUAGAAGAAUAUGUGGAUAUGAAUGGCAUUGAUCUGCGGCCGGGGCUUGGGGACUGCAGAUGUAAAAGACUCAGCUACCAAAGAGCAGAGGCAGAAGUGGUGGAGGGAGGUGGGCCUGGAC